CCCCAACAACCACCCCCCCCAAAACUUUUUAAAUAUAAAGCUAUUAUGGGUUCUGUUUUUAAUUUCAUUUGUGUUACUUUUUUUUAACUGAAAAUGGGAAAAAAAAAUCUGGGUUGUUCAUUUUAUAUUGAAGAUGGGUAAUAAUUAUCGUGGAUGAUCAAGCUUUUGAUUUUAUGGAAAGUAAAUUGUUUGGCUUGUUUUAUUUAUGCCCUUUUCGCCCCUUUCAUUCCUUCCUCUUGCUGCUAAAAUUGCGUAUUGGCUUUGUCCUGUGGA
Molecule: unclassified non-coding RNA, 273 nt
Filed under: Hevea brasiliensis (rubber tree)
Lineage: Eukaryota; Viridiplantae; Streptophyta; Magnoliopsida; Malpighiales; Euphorbiaceae
Source: RNAcentral